RNAcentral lists this ribosomal RNA (520 nucleotides) under Debaryomyces hansenii. RNAcentral's name for it is "partial large subunit ribosomal RNA". It matches the Rfam family "Eukaryotic large subunit ribosomal RNA", at positions 88 to 612 of the family's 3401-position model. Lineage: Eukaryota; Fungi; Ascomycota; Pichiomycetes; Serinales; Debaryomycetaceae. The record is from RNAcentral.
GGCGAGUGAAGCGGCAAAAGCUCAAAUUUGAAAUCUGGCACCUUCGGUGUCCGAGUUGUAAUUUGAAGAAGGUAACUUUGGAGUUGGCUCUUGUCUAUGUUCCUUGGAACAGGACGUCACAGAGGGUGAGAAUCCCGUGCGAUGAGAUGCCCAAUUCUAUGUAAAGUGCUUUCGAAGAGUCGAGUUGUUUGGGAAUGCAGCUCUAAGUGGGUGGUAAAUUCCAUCUAAAGCUAAAUAUUGGCGAGAGACCGAUAGCGAACAAGUACAGUGAUGGAAAGAUGAAAAGAACUUUGAAAAGAGAGUGAAAAAGUACGUGAAAUUGUUGAAAGGGAAGGGCUUGAGAUCAGACUUGGUAUUUUGCGAUCCUUUCCUUCUUGGUUGGGUUCCUCGCAGCUUACUGGGCCAGCAUCGGUUUGGAUGGUAGGAUAAUGACUAAGGAAUGUGGCUCUACUUCGGUGGAGUGUUAUAGCCUUGGUUGAUACUGCCUGUCUAGACCGAGGACUGCGUCUUUUGACUAGGA